CGCGCGUCGGGCCUGGGGCGCGCGCCGGGCGGGCGCGGGCGCGGGCGCGGGCGCGGGAGGGUGGGGGCCGCGGCGGGCGGCCUGCCUCCUCGCGCGACCCCCGGUCCCUCCGCCCGUCCCCUGGGCGACAGCCCGCCAGGAAACUUGUGGUCUAUGAAAGGUGCAGGACUGUGACAGCUGAGGAAGCGCCUGCGGGAGUCUUCUGGGAAGGGUAAUAGGACACCAGGACUGCCGAUUAAAGCAAGUGUGCUUCUGAUGGAAUGCAGAUUGACUGUCUUCCUUCUCUCAGCAAUGAUGACACCACCUUUCUGGUUUAAUGGAAAUGGUUUACAUCUUUGACAAGACUGUAAUUUAGUGGUAAGGAGUUGUGAAGCCCACCCUCUUGCACUCCCCUCCUAGGACAGGACUGCCCUGACCUGCUGUGCUGCCCGCUGUGCUACUGCUGUGCUGCCCGCUGUGCUACUGCGAGAGGUUAACACUGCCCGUGCCCCACCCGCAUGAGCCUGCUUUAUUGGGAGGGGUUAGAGCGGUACCUGCCUACUGGUAGACCAAAUGAGUUAAUACCAGUUAAGUGUUAGAGCAAUUCCUGGUACUUGCUAAGCUCUUGUAAGUGGUAGCUGUUAUUAUUAUUUUAAAAACAGGUCUGUUAUCCAUUCGUUAUUUUUCCCAGAGUAUAAUUGUGUCAUACAUUUCAAAUAAUUUAAAGAUCACCUAACCUAAUACUUAGUUCUAAGUAUGCCAUGCUUGGUUUAAAUUAUACUUUUACGUUUCAUGCUUCUAUUGAAAGUAAUUAAAAUUUUCGGUAGCUUUGUUUUUCUAUUCCAGGAACUUUUCAUUUUUUGGUAAGUUAAAAAAACAAACAACCCCAAAAUCAAAAUUGCUUAAGAAGUGCUCGUUAGUUCAGCAACUUGGCCAGUGUCUGUAAAUCCUUGUCUUUGCCUAAGUCGUGAAUUAGAAUCCCCACAUUGGAUGCUUUUCCUGUGGAAUAUAUCUACCUGUCAUGAGAAAUUCACAAUUAAAUAAAAAUGUGAAAUUAAAGCAUGGGACUUGUUGAAAAGGUGAGUGCUGUUUGUCCGAUUAUAUUUUAUUCUUAAAAUAGCGUAGUUUUUUCUUUAUUAUUCGUUACUGAGAGCUAUUAUGUACUUGGAUACAAAACGUUUCAGUGAGCGUUACGUGUUCCUUUGAAACUUGGCAAACCCUUCAAUUAUUUUAUAACUUUCAAUCAGGUGAAACCUUGCAGUGCAUUAUGGAAGCAGUAUCUAAUGUAAAGGUAGUUUUAUAAAAUGUGAUUUUCAAAUCAGGUGUAUUUGGGAGUUCCCCAUAGCUUCAUCUUUGAACCUCAGUGAGUAAAAUACAGAAUUUUUCUUUUAUAUUCUCAGAUAUUAAAAAAUAUUUAGCAUGUCAUGUGGUUUAGGCUGUGCUUUUUGAUUCAUUGGGUUUUUUUCCUUUGUUAAUGGUCAUGUGUCCCAUGUUGACCCAUGUUAAUGGGUCAUGUGAGCAUUCACCUGCCUUCCUGACCCUCCAACAGAGUCUCUGCUCCCGGGGCUGCCAGCUGCACCCCAUGUUGUCCUUUGGGAAAAGCUCCAUGUGAAAGAUGCACUGUACUUAAGAUUUGAGUGUGUAUCUUGUUUUACGUAAUACAGCGAAACAUUCUAAGUGACACUGAGCUGUCCACCACCCUUACGGGAAAAUACAUGCUUUGAUGUCUUUAAAAACUACAUUUAUUAGAAAUAUAAUGUAAAUUUUAUUCCGAUGAACAUGUGCUUUUAAGUGUGAAAUGUUACAACAUCCGGAUAAAUGUGAAAAGGUACCCAUUUCCCCCCCUUUUUGACAGUUGCCAUUUAUUUAAUUGAUGGAUAGAGAAUAUAAUAUAGAGGUGGGUGUCUUUGAUAAACUUGAAUAUGACCUGAAAUUAAACUUGAACCAUUUUCUGUCAAGUUUGAAGAUUUGAUACAUUUCCUCAUAAUUAUAUGCUAAGCAUUUGGCAUCAGGUAUUUAACUUUGAUUUCAUUAUGUCUUUUCUUAUCUCACUGAUUCUCAGUAGUAGAAAUGUAGGUUUCUGAGCCAAUGACUCCUAUCGACUUCAGUAAUCAAGAAAUGACUUCUAUCAACUUCAAUAAUCAAGAAAUGACAGUUAAAAUGCAGAAUCUGUGAUAUAUGAGAGCUUUCCUUUUACUUCUGUUUAAAAAGUGAUUUCACUUUUUGAUAAAGGGCCAACUGUUAUUCAGUACGAAAUCUUACGCAAAAUGAUAGUAACCAACUAUAUAAUUUCUUUAUUGUUAAAGCAUACUGAGAUUUUUUUUUAAACUAGAAAUAUGCUAGUAUCAAAAUCUGAAUGAACAUGAAAGGUAGGUUUUGUUAAUAACUUUGAAUUCUUCAGAAAACUAAUACAUUAUAAAACCAGCAGUUUCACAUUUAGGAUUUUUAUAAGUAUAUAAAUUAGGAUUACUUUUUAAUAUUAGCUUUAACUUCCUUUAAUUUUAUGGAAAAGAACCAGUCCCGAAGGUGUUUUUAUAAUUUAAUACAUAUUAUUUCUAUGAGACUAAGUAAAACUGUUCCAUGAAUCAAAAUCUUAGCCGUAGAACCCGUCCAACCACUGACCUGUCCCGGGACUAACCAGAUGUAAGUAUAACUGGCUUAAGAGUUCUGACCUUUUCCUUGCUUAUUUCAAAGGGAUUCUUCACAGACUAUAAAGCUGUGUUCAGUAUUUGUCCAUGUGAAAAUAUUGAAAGACAGGGCUUGAGCUGUUGGUUUUGUUUUAUAAAAGUAAUUUGCGGAAGUUCCUUUGCUACUUGUUCUCCAUGCAAAUUUUAUAAAAGUCCAAAUUCCCCAGCCAAGGGGAGAAAAGAUUUUCAUAAGGUUUCUUUGAAAAAGUAUGAAAGGUCCCUAAAGGUGUACGUCAACCUUUAUUUUGACCUCACACGUUUUUCUUGUUCUGUAGCUUAUCUGUGAAAAUUUUUGUUUUCAGUGUCCAAUUUAUAUUUAACAGCCAGUUGCUUAAAAUUCUCUAUUGGCAUGUAGUCAGUUUCACAGGAAAGUUCCAUUUUAGCCAGGAUACUGCUAAUACUUCAUUACUUCUAAGUAAGCCUGUCAGGAUGAAUGAGAAAUAGAGUUUGGGGACUGGGUAUUGGCAAAUCUUUUGUUUCUAGAUAACUUCCUAAAUGUUUGGCCAUUUUGUAUAUUUAGAGUAAAAUGUGCAGGCGUCCCUUCUCUGUCUUCACACUCAGGUGGCACACCUUCCUCUGUUAUACUCUAGAUUGUGAGCUGUGCACGGCCUUCCAAAUUCUUUUCCUGGUUUUACACACAUAUACCCUCUGGGCGUGAGUGGGACUUCCGACAUCAUGGAAUCACUGUAUGUAGCAUGUACCUUUUUUUCCCUGCAUUUAAGAGAACUUUUUGUAUCUCUGCAUCACUAGUUUUUUAGUUCCAAAAUGUACCAUAACAUAUUUACUUCCCCGUUGGUGGGCCUGUAGGUUGGUUGCUCCAGGAUUUCACUGUUUUAACAGUCCUAGGAAAUACCAACAUGUUGAUGCACAGUGUAACUAUUUCUACAGGGCAACUGGUAAAGGUGCAAUCACUGUGGCAAGGAAGAUGUCUGUCUAAAAUACUUAACGGAUCUUGCUGAGUGAAUCUCAGAGAAUCUGUGUCAAGUUUAUACUUUAACUAUAAGAGAGUACCUGUUUCCUCACAUCAUUGCCAGGGCAUCAGCAGUCUUGUUCACUUUUGCGGAGUGGAUAGUUACAAAGUUGUACCUCCUGGCUGAUUCACCUGUCUAAAGGUGAAGUUAACAUGUUUUCAUGCCUGUAUUGGCUUCUUUCUUCCUCCCUUUUUCCUCCCUCCAUCCCCCCCUUCUUUCUCUCUGUCUUUUGUUUUUUUUUAAUU
Hyaena hyaena (striped hyena) is the source of this 3882-nucleotide long non-coding RNA. RefSeq lists it as uncharacterized. Lineage: Eukaryota; Metazoa; Chordata; Mammalia; Carnivora; Hyaenidae. The transcript has 4 exons. The record is from RefSeq and is a predicted model, not a curated record.